RNAcentral lists this ribosomal RNA (450 nucleotides) under uncultured Entrophospora. RNAcentral describes it as "SSU rRNA". It matches the Rfam family "Eukaryotic small subunit ribosomal RNA", at positions 569 to 1018 of the family's 1831-position model. Lineage: Eukaryota; Fungi; Glomeromycota; Glomeromycetes; Entrophosporales; Entrophosporaceae. The record is from RNAcentral.
AGCAGCCGCGGUAAUUCCAGCUCCAAUAGCGUAUAUUAAAGUUGUUGCAGUUAAAAAGCUCGUAGUUGAAUUUCGGGAUUGACGUGAUGGUCGUGCCUUAAGGGGUAUGAACUGUUGCAGUCAAUUUCUCACCUUCUGGAGAAAUAUGAUGUCCUUAAUUGGGUGUCAUAUGGAACCAGAACUUUUACCUUGAAAAAUUAGAGUGUUUAAAGCAGGCUUAUUGCUCGAAUACAUUAGCAUGGAAUAAUAAAAUAGGACGGCAUGGUUCUAUUUUGUUGGUUUCUAGGAUCACCGUAAUGAUUAAUAGGGAUAGUUGGGGGCAUUAGUAUUCAAUUGUCAGAGGUGAAAUUCUUGGAUUUAUUGAAGACUAACUACUGCGAAAGCAUUUGCCAAGGAUGUUUUCAUUAAUCAAGAACGAAAGUUAGGGGAUCGAAGACGAUCAGAUACCGU